CAGUCGCCGCGGUAAUACCGAGGGUGCAAGCGUUAAUCGGAUUUACUGGGCGUAAAGGGCGCGUAGGUGGUUAUGUAAGUGAGAUGUGAAAUCCCCGGGCUCAACCUGGGAACUGCAUCUUAUACUGCGUAGCUGGAGUGCAGUAGAGGGUAGUGGAAUUUCCGGUGUAGCGGUGAAAUGCGUAGAUAUCGGAAGGAACACCAGUGGCGAAGGCGGCUACCUGGACUGACACUGACACUGAGGCGCGAAAGCGUGGGGAGCAAACAGGAUUAGAUACCCCCGUAGUCCCUGUCUCUUAUAC
This 301-nucleotide ribosomal RNA is filed under the name uncultured bacterium. RNAcentral's name for it is "partial 16S ribosomal RNA". It matches the Rfam family "Bacterial small subunit ribosomal RNA", at positions 509 to 807 of the family's 1533-position model. The record is from RNAcentral.